CGCUGGCGGCGUGCCUAACACAUGCAAGUCGAACGAGAUCCAUGGGAGCUUGCUCCCGGAAGAUCUAGUGGCGAACGGGUGAGUAACACGUGAGAAACCUGCCCUGGAGUGGGGAAUAACUCGGGGAAACUCGAGCUAAUACCGCAUACCCUCGGAUGGUCGCAUGGCCGACCGAGGAAAGAUUUAUCGCUCUAGGAGGGUCUCGCGGCCUACCAGCUAGUUGGUGGGGUAACGGCCUACCAAGGCAACGACGGGUAGCUGGUUUGAGAGAACGAUCAGCCACACUGGGACUGAGACACGGCCCAGACUCCUACGGGAGGCAGCAGUGGGGAAUCUUGCGCAAUGGGCGAAAGCCUGACGCAGCAACGCCGCGUGCGGGAUGACGGCCUUCGUGGUUGUAAACCGCUUUCAGCAGGGACGAAAAUGACGGUACCUGCAGAAGAAGCCCCGGCUAACUACGUG
RNAcentral lists this ribosomal RNA (462 nucleotides) under uncultured bacterium. RNAcentral's name for it is "bacterial SSU rRNA". It matches the Rfam family "Bacterial small subunit ribosomal RNA", at positions 34 to 507 of the family's 1533-position model. The record is from RNAcentral.